This 1404-nucleotide long non-coding RNA is filed under the name Mytilus galloprovincialis (Mediterranean mussel). Lineage: Eukaryota; Metazoa; Mollusca; Bivalvia; Mytilida; Mytilidae. The record is from RNAcentral.
UCCAAAUAAUUUAAUUCAGGUAACUAUAUUACAUGAGAGCCUUCAACAAUCAGCAAACUACAAAUGAUCUGUGUUUUAUAUCCGGUGACAUAAUAAUUACUAAGAAACAUGUAUAUAAAUAUAAAUAUGAAUAGGUUAGUCGAUUCCUUGAAUUAAAUGAUAAGGAACAAUAUAAAUAUACCUGCUCGAUUUGACGAAAUGUCUUUCUUGUCGUAUUGUUGUAAUUCUUUUGUAUACAACGCAUUCUAGGUUAUUUUAAUUCUGCUUAAUCUGAUAACUGUUAUUUUAUGUUUGUGCAUAUUGAUAUAUUGUUGUUAUCAUAAAAACAUCAAAUUGAGACGAAGCCAAAUUGUAUUCGUAUUCAGACUUCUCUUUAUGAUACGCAAUUAACGACAGCUUUCAGACAUAAUAGUGUUUGAUUCGUUACUUCACAUUCGGGGGAAAAAAUGGCGGGAUUGUUGCUGCGACAAUUAGAACAUAUCCGUCGUCAUUUAUGAAACAGAUAUUUUGUAACGGUCAACCAAUUGAUAGCAUUCAUAAAAUUGUCGACGAAAUGAUUUUGACUUCAUCACUUGGAACUCUUUGCUUAAUAGUGCCAGUGUGAGUAGCAACCUUCUAUCAAGGAAAUCCUGAUAGCAAAUACACGCCGUGAAAUAGUGUAUCAACUGAGAGAUUAUAUAUAAAUCACCUGCGCUAACAUGUUACGGUGAUAUUGUUCAAUAUCAAUUAGUUUUGGAAUAAUGCUCAUUUAAUACCUAAAGAUAGCAUCAAAUUAUUUUUUUGAAACCAUCUCGCUCAUGUUUACUGACAUUUAAAACUUGUUCAUUUGUAUAUGAAAAAUAACAAAAUACAGAAAUUAAUUAGAUGUAACGGGAUGUAGAUAAAUAGGUUAUCCUAUCAGCAAGUAUCCUUCCGAAAUAUUUAGCGAUGCAUCAGUUCAAGUCUCAUAAGAGUCCUUUUGAUAACCAAAUAAACGCUUGCAACGUAACAAUUAUUUCUUUCAACAAUAAAAGAGAUAAACAAUAACAAGCGUAUGUAGGGCGAGGAAGUGACAAUCACCAAAAACAUUACGUUCUUGCAAAUAUAUUUGUGGCCUACAGAGCUGUCGUCUUUUGGUACCGACGGCAACAGGGAGGUGCGGACAAUUACACCGUUGUCGUCUCCAUUUGUCAGAAACCACCCGAAUUACUCAAAAGCUGUUCGAAAUAUUGAAUACAUGUCUUAUUCUUCCAACACCUAGUUAUAUAGAUUUCCCUUUAUUUUGGUAUUAGAAAAACGGAAUUUUUAUAUGCUUACUACUUAUAUGGAUUCAUACUUUUCUUUGAUGCAAAAUCUAGUAUUAAAAAGAAUGGGAUUUUUUAAUUUAUAUUAUAAAAUGACAUCAACAGCACAUAUAGCGGCGAU